AGUGAACGCUGGCGGUAGGCCUAACACAUGCAAGUCGAACGGGAGCACAGUAAGAAAUUGCUCGUACGGGUGGCGAGUGGCGGACGGGCGGGGAAGACAUUGGAACCUACUUUUUCGUGGGGGUUAACGUAGGGAAACGUACGCUAAUACCGCAUAUGACCUACAGGUGAAAAGAGGGGAACGUCGGACGUUGCGAGACUGAAUGGGCAGAUGUCGGAUUCGCUAGUUGGCGGGGGAAAGGCCGACUAAGGUCACGAGCCUUAGCUGCUCUCAGAGGAUGAUUCGCUAGCCUGGAACUGAGACUCGCCCCACACUCCGACGGGAGGCAGCAGUGGGGAAUAUUGGGCAAUGGAGGCAUGCCUGAUCCAGCCAUACCGCGUGGGUCAAGAUGGCGUGCGGCUUGUAAAGCCCUUUUGUUGUGAAAUAAAUGCAGCAGGUUAAUACCCCGCUGUUCUGACGGUACCCAAGGAAUAAGCACCGGCUAACUUCGUG
Molecule: ribosomal RNA, 492 nt
Filed under: uncultured bacterium
Lineage: Bacteria
Description: partial 16S ribosomal RNA
Rfam family: Bacterial small subunit ribosomal RNA
Source: RNAcentral